This 440-nucleotide ribosomal RNA is filed under the name uncultured bacterium. RNAcentral's name for it is "partial 16S ribosomal RNA". It matches the Rfam family "Bacterial small subunit ribosomal RNA", at positions 338 to 795 of the family's 1533-position model. The record is from RNAcentral.
CCUACGGGAGGCAGCAGUGGGGGAUAUUGCACAAUGGGGGAAACCCUGAUGCAGCGACGCCGCGUGUGGGAAGACGGUCCUCUGGAUUGUAAACCACUGUCCCCAGGGACGAAGAUGACGGUACCUGGGGAGGAAGCUCCGGCUAACUACGGGCCAGCAGCCGCGGUAAUACGUAGGGAGCGAGCGUUGUCAGGAAUUACUGGGGGUAAGGGGAGAGGAGGCGGGGCUGCAAGUUGGAUGUCAAAGCGACCGGCUCACCUGGUGGUCCGACUCAAAACUGCAGCUGUUGAGUGAAGUAGAGGCAGGCUGAAAUCCUAGUGUAGCGGUGAAAAGCGUAGAUAUUAGGAGGAACACCAGUGGCGAAGGCGGCCUGCUGGGCUUUUACUGACGCUGAGGCUCGAAAGUGUGGGGAGCAAACAGGAUUAGAUACCCGAGUAGUC